RNAcentral lists this ribosomal RNA (248 nucleotides) under uncultured bacterium. RNAcentral's name for it is "partial 16S ribosomal RNA". It matches the Rfam family "Bacterial small subunit ribosomal RNA", at positions 15 to 252 of the family's 1533-position model. The record is from RNAcentral.
GAUCCUGGCUCAGGAUGAACGCUAGCUACAGGCUUAACACAUGCAAGUCGAGGGGCAGCAUUUCAGUUUGCUUGCAAACUGGAGAUGGCGACCGGCGCACGGGUGAGUAACACGUAUCCAACCUGCCGAUAACUCGGGGAUAGCCUUUCGAAAGAAAGAUUAAUACCCGAUGGUAUAAUUAGACCGCAUGGUCUUGUUAUUAAAGAAUUUCGGUUAUCGAUGGGGAGUGCGUUCCAUUAGGCAGUUGG